Molecule: ribosomal RNA, 405 nt
Filed under: uncultured bacterium
Lineage: Bacteria
Description: bacterial SSU rRNA
Rfam family: Bacterial small subunit ribosomal RNA
Source: RNAcentral
GGGCCCGCACAAGCGGUGGAGCAUGUGGUUUAAUUCGAAGCAACGCGCAGAACCUUACCAACCCUUGACAUCCUGUGCCACUCCGAGAGAUCGGACGUUCCCUUCGGGGACGCAGUGACAGGUGCUGCAUGGCUGUCGUCUGCUCGUGUCGUGAGAUGUUCGGUUAAGUCCGGCAACGAGCGCAACCCACAUCCUUAGUUGCCAGCAGUUCGGCUGGGCACUCUAAGGAAACUGCCCGUGAUAAGCGGGAGGAAGGUGUGGAUGACGUCAAGUCCUCAUGGCCCUUACGGGUUGGGCUACACACGUGCUACAAUGGCAGUGACAAUGGGUUAAUCCCCAAAAACUGUCUCAGUUCGGAUUGGAGUCUGCAACUCGACUCCAUGAAGUCGGAAUCGCUAGUAAUCG